RNAcentral lists this ribosomal RNA (301 nucleotides) under uncultured bacterium. RNAcentral describes it as "partial 16S ribosomal RNA". It matches the Rfam family "Bacterial small subunit ribosomal RNA", at positions 509 to 808 of the family's 1533-position model. The record is from RNAcentral.
CAGUCGCCACGGUAAUACGUAGGGUGCGAGCGUUAAUCGGAAUUACUGGGCGUAAAGCGUGCGCAGGCGGUUAUAUAAGACAGAUGUGAAAUCCCCGGGCUCAACCUGGGACCUGCAUUGUGACUGUAUAGCUAGAGUACGGUAGAGGGGGAUGGAAUUCCGCGUGUAGCAGUGAAAUGCGUAGAUAUGCGGAGGAACACCGAUGGCGAAGGCAAUCCCCUGGACCUGUACUGACGCUCAUGCACGAAAGCGUGGGGAGCAAACAGGAUUAGAUACCCCCGUAGUCCCUGUCUCUUAUACC